RNAcentral lists this ribosomal RNA (524 nucleotides) under uncultured bacterium. RNAcentral's name for it is "bacterial SSU rRNA". It matches the Rfam family "Bacterial small subunit ribosomal RNA", at positions 68 to 604 of the family's 1533-position model. The record is from RNAcentral.
GAAUCUUCGGAGGAAGUCUCCUUUGACUGAGUGGCGGACGGGUGAGUAACGCGUGGGUAACCUGCCUCACACAGGGGGAUAACAGUUGGAAACGACCGCUAAUACCGCAUAAGCCGGAAGGAUCGCAUGAUCCGGCCGGAAAAGAUUUAUCGGUGUGAGAUGGACCCGCGUCUGAUUAGCUAGUUGGCAGGGUAACGGCCUACCAAAGCGACGAUCAGUAGCCGGCCUGAGAGGGUGAACGGCCACAUUGGGACUGAGACACGAUCCACCUUUAAACGGGAGGUCGCAGUGGGGAAUAUUGCACAAUGGGCGAAACCCUGAUGCACCGACGCCGCGUGAGUGAACAAGUAUUUCGCUAUGUACAGCUCUAUCAGCAGGGAAGAAUAACUGACGGUACCUGAGUAAGAAGCCCCGGCUAACUACGUGCCAGCAUGCCGCGGUUAUACGUAUGGGGCAAGCGUUAUCCGGAUUUACUGGGUGUAAAGGGAGCGUAUACCGCCAUGCACGCCAGAUGUGAAAGCCCG